GAUGAACGCUAGCGGGAGGCUUAAUACAUGCAAGUCGAGCGAGAAUGUUUGUGCUUGCACAGACAGGACAGCGGCGCACGGGUGAGUAACGCGUACACAAUCUACCAUAUACAGGAGGAUAGCCCCGGGAAACUGGGAUUAAUACUCCAUGGCCCCUAAGACAGGCAUCUGUUUAAGGGUAAAGCUCCGGCGGUAUAUGAUGAGUGUGCGUACUAUUAGUUAGUUGGUGAGGUAACGGCUCACCAAGACGAUGAUAGUUAGGGGGCGUGAGAGCGUGAUCCCCCACACGGGUACUGAGACACGGACCCGACUCCUACGGGAGGCAGCAGUAAGGAAUAUUGGGCAAUGGAGGCAACUCUGACCCAGCCAUCCCGCGUGCAGGAUGACGGCGCUACGCGUUGUAAACUGCUUUUGUGUAAGAUGAAACCUAGGGAUUUAUCCUUAGCUGACGUUAUUACAAGAAUAAGCACCGGCUAACUCCG
Molecule: ribosomal RNA, 482 nt
Filed under: uncultured Lewinella sp.
Lineage: Bacteria; Pseudomonadati; Bacteroidota; Saprospiria; Saprospirales; Lewinellaceae
Description: bacterial SSU rRNA
Rfam family: Bacterial small subunit ribosomal RNA
Source: RNAcentral